AGGGAGGCAGCAGUGGGGAAUUUUGGACAAUGGGGGGAACCCUGAUCCAGCCAUGCCGCGUGCGGCCCGAAGGCCUUCGGGUUGUAAACCGCUUUUGGUCGGAAAGAAAAGGCGCACCCUAAUACGGGGCGUUCUUGACGGUACCGGCAGAAUAAGCACCGGCUAACUACGUGCCAGCAGCCGCGGUAAUACGUAGGGUGCGAGCGUUAAUCGGAAUUACUGGGCGUAAAGCGUGCGCAGGCGGUUCUCCAAGUCCGUUGUGAAAGCCCCGGGCUCAACCUGGGAAUGGCAGUGGAAACUAGGGGACUUGAAUCUGGCAGAGGGGGGUGGAAUUCCACGUGUAGCAGUGAAAUGCGUAGAGAUGUGGAGGAACACCGAUGGCGAAGGCAGCCCCCUGGGCUGAGAUUGACGCUCAGGCACGAAAGCGUGGGGAGCAAACAGGAUUAGAUACCCUGGUAGUCCACGCCCUAAACGAUGUCAACUAGGUGUUGGGGAAGCGAUUUCUCAGUACCGCAGCUAACGCGUGAAGUUGACCGCCUGGGGAGUACGGUCGCAAGAUUAAAACUCAAAGGAAUUGACGGGGACCCGCACAAGCGGUGGAUGAUGUGGAUUAAUUCGAUGCAACGCGAAUAACCUUACCUACCCUUGACAUGUACCGAAGCCCUCACAGAUGGGG
RNAcentral lists this ribosomal RNA (676 nucleotides) under uncultured bacterium. RNAcentral describes it as "bacterial SSU rRNA". It matches the Rfam family "Bacterial small subunit ribosomal RNA", at positions 342 to 1011 of the family's 1533-position model. The record is from RNAcentral.